GACGAACGCUGGCGGCGUGCUUAACACAUGCAAGUCGAACGGAAAGGCCCUGCUUUUGUGGGGUGCUCGAGUGGCGAACGGGUGAGUAACACGUGAGUAACCUGCCCUUGACUUUGGGAUAACUUCAGGAAACUGGGGCUAAUACCGGAUAGGAGCUCCUGCUGCAUGGUGGGGGUUGGAAAGUUUCGGCGGGUGGGGAUGGACUGGCGGCUUAUCAGCUUGUUGGUGGGGUAGGGGCUUACCAAGGCUUUGACGGGUAGCCGGCCUGAGAGGGUGACCGGCGACAUUGGUCCUGAGGUACGGCGCAGACGCCAACGGGAGGCAGCAGGGGGGAAUAUUGCACAACGGGCGGAAGCCUGAUGCAGCAGCGCCGCGUGCGGGAUGACGUCCUUCGGGUUGUAAACCGCUUUCGCCUGUGACGAAGCGUGAGUGACGGUAAUGGGUGAAGAAGCACCGGCUAACUACGUG
RNAcentral lists this ribosomal RNA (468 nucleotides) under uncultured bacterium. RNAcentral describes it as "partial 16S ribosomal RNA". It matches the Rfam family "Bacterial small subunit ribosomal RNA", at positions 28 to 507 of the family's 1533-position model. The record is from RNAcentral.